RNAcentral lists this non-coding RNA (30 nucleotides) under Mus musculus (house mouse). Lineage: Eukaryota; Metazoa; Chordata; Mammalia; Rodentia; Muridae. The record is from RNAcentral.
UACAAGAAAGAAAGCAAUGCAGCAGAGGUC